Molecule: ribosomal RNA, 465 nt
Filed under: uncultured bacterium
Lineage: Bacteria
Description: partial 16S ribosomal RNA
Rfam family: Bacterial small subunit ribosomal RNA
Source: RNAcentral
GACGAACGCUGGCGGCGUGCUUAACACAUGCAAGUCGAACGGAAAGGCCCUGCUUGCAGGGUACUCGAGUGGCGAACGGGUGAGUAACACGUGGGUGAUCUGCCCUGCACUUCGGGAUAAGCCUGGGAAACUGGGUCUAAUACCGGAUAGGAGCCAUUUUUAGUGUGAUGGUUGGAAAGUUUUUUCGGUGUAGGAUGAGCUCGCGGCCUAUCAGCUUGUUGGUGGGGUAAUGGCCUACCAAGGCGGCGACGGGUAGCCGGCCUGAGAGGGUGGACGGCCACAGUGGGACUGAGAGACGGCCCAGACUCCGACGGGAGGCAGCAGUGGGGAAUAUUGCACAAUGGGCGCAAGCCUGAUGCAGCGACGCCGCGGGGGGGAUGACGGCCUUCGGGUUGUAAACCCCUUUCGCUAGGGACGAAGCUUUUUGUGACGGUACCUAGAUAAGAAGCACCGGCUAACUACGUG